CAGAAUCACUCCAGGGAGGUGUGAGUGAGAAGAAAGUUCAUGGCUUUAGCAGUUCAUGUCCGAUGAACUAUAGUUUUGUAGGUACAGAGCCAAGUGAACAUCGAAAUGCUCAUGAUGCGGCCUCUACAGUUAAUACUUCCGCGUUCAGUUUCUCGAGUAAUGGAAAGAGUGGAGAUGCGGCCUCUACAGUUAAUACUUCCGCGUUCAGUUUCUCGAGUAAUAGAAAGAGUGGUGGGACGAGUUUUAUGGAGUUCAAGACCCCUAAUUUGAAGCCAAACCCUUUUUCUAGCUUGGAUCA
RNAcentral lists this long non-coding RNA (298 nucleotides) under Brassica napus (rape). RNAcentral's name for it is "long non-coding RNA (BNAP_LNC008951)". Lineage: Eukaryota; Viridiplantae; Streptophyta; Magnoliopsida; Brassicales; Brassicaceae. The record is from RNAcentral.